CUUGAACGCUGGCGGCAGGCCUAACACAUGCAAGUCGAACGAGUGGCGGACGGGUGAGUAAUGUCUGGGACACUGCCUGAUGGAGGGGGAUAACUACUGGACACUGUAUCUAAUACCGCAUACCCUCGGAUGUGCCCAGAUGGGAUUAGCUAGUAGGUGGGGUAACGGCUCCCCUAGGCGACGAUCCCUAGCUGGUCUGAGAGGAUGACCAGGCACAAUGGAACUGAGACACGGUCCAGAAGCCUACGGGAGGCAGAAGUGGGGAAUAUUGCACAAUGGGCGAAAGCCUGAUGCAGCCAUGCCGCGUGUAUGAAGAAGGCCUUCGGGUUGUAAAGUACUUUCAGCGGGGAGGCGUUACCCGCAGAAGAAGCACCGGCUAACGCCGUGCCAGCAGCCGCGGUAAUUC
This 406-nucleotide ribosomal RNA is filed under the name uncultured bacterium. RNAcentral's name for it is "partial 16S ribosomal RNA". It matches the Rfam family "Bacterial small subunit ribosomal RNA", at positions 30 to 526 of the family's 1533-position model. The record is from RNAcentral.